Long non-coding RNA from Etheostoma spectabile (orangethroat darter), 159 nucleotides. RefSeq lists it as uncharacterized. The transcript has 3 exons. The record is from RefSeq and is a predicted model, not a curated record. Lineage: Eukaryota; Metazoa; Chordata; Actinopteri; Perciformes; Percidae.
GACCAUAUACAUACUUGGAACUUCUCUCCACAGAAGGUGAAGCACUGCUACUUGGGAGGAGUGAUUAGCGCAACACCUGAAAAGCACCGUUGUUACUCUCUGCUCCUCACCACGGAGCUUCUCAGGCGCCCCGAGCAAAUCACCAUUUUCUCUUCGCUG